GUCAACCUCACUGGAGAGCGGCACGCGCAUUGGCGUCGUGCCCACCGAAGGGGCAAGCCGCGGCGCCGAUGACGCCCGGUCAAUCUCUCAGGUACCAAGGACAGCGGGGCGUCG
RNAcentral lists this non-coding RNA (114 nucleotides) under Thiomonas delicata. RNAcentral's name for it is "Glycine sequence". It matches the Rfam family "Glycine riboswitch aptamer". From Rfam's summary of the family: This family represents the bacterial glycine riboswitch. Glycine riboswitches usually consist of two metabolite-binding aptamers domains with similar structures in tandem. Lineage: Bacteria; Pseudomonadati; Pseudomonadota; Betaproteobacteria; Burkholderiales. The record is from Rfam by way of RNAcentral.